UGGGGAAUCUUGGACAAUGGGCGCAAGCCUGAUCCAGCCAUGCCGCGUGGAUGAUGAAGGCCUUAGGGUUGUAAAAUCCUUUCGCCGAGGACGAUAAUGACGGUACUCGGAGAAGAAGCUCCGGCUAACUUCGUGCCAGCAGCCGCGGUAAUACGAAGGGGGCUAGCGUUGUUCGGAUUUACUGGGCGUAAAGCGCGUGUAGGCGGGUUGGGAAGUUGGGGGUAAAAUCCCGAGGCUCAACCUCGGAACUGCCUCCAAAACUUCCAGCCUGGACUCAAGUAGAGGCAAGUGGAAUUGCGAGUGUAGAGGUGAAAUUCGUAGAUAUUCGCAGGAACACCAGUGGCGAAGGCGACUUGCUGGACUUGUAGUGACGCUGAGACGCGAAAGCGUGGGGAGCAAACAGGAUUAGAUACCCCUGUAGUCCCUGAGCGGGCUGGCAAGGCGCAU
RNAcentral lists this ribosomal RNA (447 nucleotides) under uncultured bacterium. Its description in RNAcentral is "bacterial SSU rRNA". It matches the Rfam family "Bacterial small subunit ribosomal RNA", at positions 355 to 825 of the family's 1533-position model. The record is from RNAcentral.